This 423-nucleotide ribosomal RNA is filed under the name uncultured bacterium. Its description in RNAcentral is "bacterial SSU rRNA". It matches the Rfam family "Bacterial small subunit ribosomal RNA", at positions 355 to 774 of the family's 1533-position model. RNAcentral also lists the same sequence under 1 other name. The record is from RNAcentral.
UGGGGAAUAUUGGACAAUGGGCGGAAGCCUGAUCCAGCAACGCCGCGUGAGGGAUGACGGCCUUCGGGUUGUAAACCUCUUUCAGCACAGACGAAGCUGACUCCACGUGUGGGGUGGGUGACGGUAUGUGCAGAAGAAGCACCGGCCAACUACGUGCCAGCAGCCGCGGUAAUACGUAGGGUGCGAGCGUUGUCCGGAAUUAUUGGGCGUAAAGGGCUCGUAGGCGGUUUGUCGCGUCGGGAGUGAAAUCCACUGGCUUAACUGGUGGCUUGCUUUCGAUACGGGCAGACUGGAGGUAUGCAGGGGAGAACGGAAUUCCUGGUGUAGCGGUGAAAUGCGCAGAUAUCAGGAGGAACACCGGUGGCGAAGGCGGUUCUCUGGGCAUGUCCUGACGCUGAGGAGCGAAAGUGUGGGGAGCGAACA